CCUACGGGGGGCAGCAGUGAGGAAUAUUGGUCAAUGGGCGGAAGCCUGAACCAGCCAAGUCGCGUGAGGGACUAAGGCCCUACGGGUCGUAAACCUCUUUUGCCGGGGAUCAGUGCCCAGCUCGUGAGCUGGGAGGGAGCGUAACCGGAGAAAAAGCAUCGGCAAACGCCGUGCCAGCAGCCGCGGUAAUACGGGGGAUGCGAGCGUUACCCGGAUUUUUUGGGUUAAAAGGGUGCGUAGGCGGGCCUUCAGGCCGGCGGUAAAAUGGCGGGGCUCAACCCCGCCGUGCCGUUGAAACCGGGGGCCUAGAGUACCGGAGAAGUAAGCGGAAUGCGUGGUGUAGCGGUGAAAUGCAUAGAUAUCACGCAGAACCCCGAUUGCGAAGGCAGCGUACCGGCCGGUCACUGACGCUGAGGCACGAAAGCGCGGGUAUCGAACAGGAUUAGAUACCCGGGUAGUC
RNAcentral lists this ribosomal RNA (460 nucleotides) under uncultured bacterium. RNAcentral's name for it is "partial 16S ribosomal RNA". It matches the Rfam family "Bacterial small subunit ribosomal RNA", at positions 338 to 795 of the family's 1533-position model. The record is from RNAcentral.